RNAcentral lists this ribosomal RNA (256 nucleotides) under uncultured bacterium. RNAcentral describes it as "partial 16S ribosomal RNA". It matches the Rfam family "Bacterial small subunit ribosomal RNA", at positions 524 to 778 of the family's 1533-position model. The record is from RNAcentral.
GACGUAGGGUCCAAGCGUUGUCCGGAUUUACUGGGCGUAAAGAGCGCGUAGGCGGUCUUGUAAGUGUGAAGUGAAAUCUCCAGGGCUCAACCCGGAAACUGCUUUACAUACUGCAAGACUAGAGUGAUGCAGAGGUUUGUGGAAUUCCUGGUGUAACGGUGAAAUGUGUUGAUAUCAGGAGGAACACCCAUGGCGAAGGCAGCAAACUGGGCAUCAACUGACGCUGAGGCGCGAAAGCGUGGGUAGCAAACGGAGU